This 747-nucleotide ribosomal RNA is filed under the name Funneliformis mosseae. RNAcentral's name for it is "eukaryotic LSU rRNA". It matches the Rfam family "Eukaryotic large subunit ribosomal RNA", at positions 58 to 649 of the family's 3401-position model. Lineage: Eukaryota; Fungi; Glomeromycota; Glomeromycetes; Glomerales; Glomeraceae. The record is from RNAcentral.
AAAGAAAAUAACAAUGAUUCCCCCAGUAACGGCGAGCGAAGAGGGAUAAGCUCAAAUUUUAGAUCUGUUGGGUUCCACUUAACAGAGUUGUAUUUUGAAGAAACGUUUUCUGCAUCCAGGAAUAGCCUAAAUCCUUUGGGAUAAGGUAUCAUGGAGGGUGAGAAUCCCGUUCAUGGUUAAUCUUAAGGAAGCUCUACGAUACGUUUUCCAAGAGUCGAGUUGUUUGGGAUUGCAGCUCAAAAUGGGAGGUAAAUUUCUCCUAAGGCUAAAUAUUGACGAGAGACCGAUAGCAACAAGUACCGUGAGGGAAAGAUGAAAAGAACUUUGAAAAGAGAGUUAAACAGUACGUGAAAUUGUUGAAAGGGAAACGAUCGAAGUCAGUCAUACCAACGGGAAAUCAACCUUUUGAGCUCGGUCUCGUGGGUUUUGAAGAGUUUCAAAGCCCUUCGGAUUCGCGGAUUGGGAUCUCUUGGUGUACUUUUUCGUACGGUUAGUCAACAUCGGUUUUGGAUGUCAUAAAAUGACUGGAGGAAUGUAGCUUCGAUCUCGUACUGAAGUGUUAUAGCCUUUGGUAGAUGUGAUGUUUGAGACCGAGGAUUGCAACGGAUACCCUUCAGGGCUAUUCGUCUGAUCUCUGAUACGUUGCCUUGAUGUUGAAAGCUUGCUUAUGAUGUUAGGGUAUUACGGUCAAAAGGUUGGAACGGAUUAGAUUCGUUAAGGAUGUUGACGUAAUGACUGUAAACGACC